UCCUACGGGAGGCAGCAGUGGGGAAUAUUGGACAAUGGGCGCAAGCCUGAUCCAGCCAUGCCGCGUGUGUGAAGAAGGCCUUUUGGUUGUAAAGCACUUUAAGCGAGGAGGAGGCUACUUGGAUUAAUACUCUAGGAUAGUGGACGUUACUCGCAGAAUAAGCACCGGCUAACUCUGUGCCAGCAGCCGCGGUAAUACAGAGGGUGCGAGCGUUAAUCGGAUUUACUGGGCGUAAAGCGUGCGUAGGCGGCUUCUUAAGUCGGAUGUGAAAUCCCUGAGCUUAACUUAGGAAUUGCAUUCGAUACUGGGAAGCUAGAGUAUGGGAGAGGAUGGUAGAAUUCCAGGUGUAGCAGUGAAAUGCGUAGAGAUCUGGAGGAAUACCGAUGGCGAAGGCAGCCAUCUGGCCUAAUACUGACGCUGAGGUACGAAAGCAUGGGGAGCAAACAGGAUUAGAUACCCUGGUAGUCCAUGCCGUAAACGAUGUCUACUAGCCGUUGGGGCCUUUGAGGCUUUAGUGGCGCAGCUAACGCGAUAAGUAGACCGCCUGGGGAGUACGGUCGCAAGACUAAAACUCAAAUGAAUUGACGGA
Molecule: ribosomal RNA, 589 nt
Filed under: uncultured bacterium
Lineage: Bacteria
Description: bacterial SSU rRNA
Rfam family: Bacterial small subunit ribosomal RNA
Source: RNAcentral